GGGGGCGUCACGGUUUCGACGGGGACAUUUGAAGUUGUAGAUGCGUACCGAGGUUCCUACAGGCCUCGUUAAACAGGUAGGAAACAUAUAAUCGCAGACAACUACGAUUACGCCUUAGCCGCUUAAGACGGCUAACGUCCUGCACGGUUUUCCUGUUGGCUUUGUAAGGACGUCAUUAAGACAGGAUAGCCAAACUCUCUUCCUGAGGGAGGGCGGCGAAACACUUUCAGGAUAGCGCGGUGCGAUCCGGCCUGAGGGAGCAAACCAAGCGUGAAGGUUCUAAAACGAAGGCUAUGUACGUAGAUUCUCCAGCGGAAGGUUUUCGGACGCGGGUUCGACUCCCGCCGCCUCCACCA
This 356-nucleotide transfer-messenger RNA is filed under the name Deltaproteobacteria bacterium RBG_16_44_11. It matches the Rfam family "transfer-messenger RNA". From Rfam's summary of the family: Bacterial tmRNA, also known as 10Sa RNA or SsrA, is named for its dual tRNA and mRNA-like properties. Its role is to liberate the mRNA from a stalled ribosome. The record is from RNAcentral. RNAcentral also lists the same sequence under 1 other name. Lineage: Bacteria; Deltaproteobacteria.